Molecule: long non-coding RNA, 1772 nt
Organism: Vulpes vulpes (red fox)
Lineage: Eukaryota; Metazoa; Chordata; Mammalia; Carnivora; Canidae
Source: Ensembl
CUGAAGAGUUCUGUCGCCAGGGAAACGUCAUCCAGUUGAUUCCACACCACCACAGCCCUGCUCCCACCACCCUCUGCCUGGUCUGGUCGCUGAUCUGCCCAGACAAUGCAGGGUUUCACUCUGAGAGACAGAACCUGUCUGUUUUUUCCUCGUUUGCCUUCCCUUUUUCCAUCCCCCUGGAGGCUGAGCAGGGAAAGUCACAGCUUUUCUUGCUGACUGACAUCUCCGGAUCAAAAGAAAACAGAAUCUUAGAAUGUCGCUGGCAGAGAGGGCCCGCUCAAGUCUAAUAUGGCCCUGUCACUCUACAGUGGUGACAACUGUGGCUACAGGGUGGCCAUCAUUUUCUUGAUUUCAGCAAUAGCUUUGCCUGGAUUCAGCCCCUUGGGGCAGGACCUUGUGCAGUUCAUGAUGGUGUGGCAGCGGUCCAGAGAGAACGGGCCCUGCAGCUUGGCCAGGCGCUCCUCAGUGAAGUCGUCUUCUAGAGUCGAUCAUCCAGGGGUAGGCCUGCAUGAGAACCGCAGGCCCCAGGUAUUUGUCUCCAUUCCACCAGUAGCUAGGGCAGCUGGUGCUGCAGCAAGCACAGAGGAUACACUCAUACAGCCCGUCAGGAACCAGAUCCUUUAUCACAUACAUAUGUGGCAGAGGGUAGAUUUUGGAGACUUUGCUGAGGUUGGUGUGGAUCCGGCGGGUGCAAGCCAGAGUAUUGCCUCCGUUGAUGUUCAUGGCACAGGAGCCACAGAUGCCUUCUCUGCAUGAUCUUCGGAAGGUCAAGGUCCUGAAGCUAAAAAAGCUGCAGUAGCUCAUGUGCCCAUCCUGGCCAACGGCCUCGGCAGCGGUCAUGUCCAUGCCUGGUGCAGCACAUCAGGCUCCAGCCCUGGCCCCAAGCGCUCCACCUGAAGGCCUCGGACAUCACACCUGCCUGGUCAUGGAUCAUAAAAUGUCCGAGCUGGGAAGGGAUAAAGGAAGUAUCUAGUUCCACCUGCUCUCCUAACAGGUGUGGAAAUACAGAUCAAGAGGGGAAUAAGAACUUGCCUGAUGCCACCCAGAUCGUUUACUUUAUAGACGUGCACCUUGAACUCAGGGAUUUUGGAGCCUGGGUCACAUUAGAAUAGUUUUCUCUACUCUUCAUUUCGUUUUGGAAGCAAAAACUAGCCUUACUCUAGAUAAUUUGGGUCUGCCACAGUACAUGUGACUUUCUCAAGGGAUAAUUUGGUUGGGUACUACAAGAGACCCAAAUAACAUUUGAGGUCUUUGGGGGCUUGGUUAUGCUGGGAGUGGGUAACCCCAACAUGUCAGCAAUUCCAGCCAAGGUCCCUUCAGCCAAAAUAACUGCAUGUCUUUAUUAUUAUUAUUAUUGAUUUAUUCAUGAGCAGCUCAAAGAGAGCCUGAUGCAAGACUCGAUCCCAGGAUUCUAGGAUCAUGACCUGAGCCAAAGGCAGAUGCUCAACCACUGAGCCACCAGGAGCCCCAUAACUGCAUGCUCUUAAGAUGUCAGAUCCCUACAGAAAAUUACUGUUGUUUUUAACUUGGAGACACUCCAUCUAGCUUUAUGCAAGAAAUAUGCUUCUAAAAACUCAUCUAUCUAAUGAAAAUUGAUGCAUAAAUGCUCUGAGUCCAAAUAUCCUUUUAAAAUAUUCACACUAGAGGUAGCCAUAGUUGCAGCUAUGGUGGAAGAAGCAUCCACACUUAACACAAACCGGUUUGGGUUUUUUUUUUUAUGAAAUUACAUUUUUUCAUUGACUUUCCAUUAUAAUUCCCACGAAGCAUUAAUG